Molecule: ribosomal RNA, 18 nt
Filed under: Trichosporon asahii
Lineage: Eukaryota; Fungi; Basidiomycota; Tremellomycetes; Trichosporonales; Trichosporonaceae
Source: RNAcentral
CGAUCUGCGAAGUCAAGC